Molecule: long non-coding RNA, 1764 nt
Organism: Ursus americanus (American black bear)
Lineage: Eukaryota; Metazoa; Chordata; Mammalia; Carnivora; Ursidae
Source: Ensembl
AUUUAGAGAGAAAUCUAAACAUUUUUUUGUUUCAAUCUUUUUUUUUUUUAAAUAGGUGUUUACUGAAGACAGCAAGGAUUUGCAGCUGUUUGGAGCCUGAGUGGCAGAUGAAACCAACUUGCAGACUUCCGGGGCACAAGUACGAGUUACAGCCCAGAGACGGCUGCAUGAUGCCCAGACAGCACACAGACCGCCUCCACACGUGGAGAGCUGAGAUCUCAGAGGAGACGUGCCAUUGCCUUGGAGCCGGUCAGGCUGCACGGAAGACAAGCAGGAUUCCUGCCUCCUCUAACUCUGCACUACACUGGAAAGCUGGUAAGCCGUGGACAGAGUAGGCCUUCAGUGCGACCUGCAGAGCAGCUAGACCCGGUAAAACAUGGUCUUUCCUCAUGGAACAACAGCCUUGGGGGUUGCCUGGACAAACAUCCCCACAGAUGAGAAAUUAAAGCAGAGUAGAGUGGUCAAGGCCACGCCCUAAAUAAGCAAUCAAGGGGGCUAGAACGCAGGUCCCACACCCUCUGUGUCUGGGCAGCCUAAGGCGACACACACGUAGACAGACUCCAGGCCAUAGCUUCUUCAGGCUAAGAGUUGUCUCGAACCCUGAUGGAGUUGGUGUCUGCUGCCAACAGAUUUGUCUCUGUGCUAGAGGCAGGAGUCUUACAGUUGAGUGAGGGAGCUCCUAAGAAAUUUAGUACAUUCUAAUGAGUAGCUAAUUCCUUCUUGCAACAUGGACUGCUUUGUGUGUAAUGGAAUAUGGUUCUGGAUUUUGGAAAUGAACAGUCCUGUGUAAAUUCAGUGUAAUAGCACUAGUACUUCAAGGGUCCCUUUGGCUCCUGAGCCUUCUCCACUCUGAUUUAGGCCUUUGAUCCCGCACAUGGCCUCUUACUGUUCUUCCCACUACUUCAUCCUCCUAGCACCCACUCCCAGCUGGCCCUGACUUAGGAGAGGCUGGGUAGGCAGUGGUUUGGAGUACGGUCUCUGGAGACAGAGGGCCGGGACUCAAACCAUGGUUCUGCUGCUGCUUUGCUGUGUGACCUUAGGCCUUAACAGCAAUGCUGGAUCCAGUGCCUAAUUUUCUUUUCUUUUUUGAUUUGAGAGAGAGAGAAAGAGAGCACAAAGCUGGGGGAGAGGCACACUCCCCCUGAGCAGGAAGCCCGACGUGGGGCUCAAUCCCAGGACUCCGAGAUCAUGACCUGAGCUGAAGGCAGAUAGAUGCCCACCUGACUGAGCCACCCAGGCACCCCUCUGUUGCCUUAUUUUCAAAUGAGGAUAUAACAGUACAAACCUCACCAGGUUGACAGAAUUAAAUGUGUUGACAAGUACUUAAACAGUGUCUGACCCAUAACAGAUCUUAACUAUUAUCAUCUUGUUCAGUUCUCUGUUCAGAAACCCCAAAUAGUUAUAGAAUUGAGACCAGCGUUUAACCUAAAAUAGACUCCUUGGCCUUUUUUAACAAGUAUUUCCUCAUUUGCUAAACCACGCACUCCAACUCAGUUCCCCAGACCUGCCCUCCUGUCUUGGCUCAUGCUGACCCAGCAUUGCCAUCAGUAGCCGUCACUGCUGCCCCGCCAGGGCAGGCUCUCUGGUCAGACAUGCCGAUGGGCUUUCUUUUUCCUUUAAGCCAUAUCUAAGUAGGCCUCCAGAGUUGUAGAGGAAAGCUAAAGUCAUCAGACAUGAAAAGUAUUCUCCAAACAACUGAGCAUAUAAAAAAUUACUUUCCACUUAGACAUUGUUAAACAAUAAAAAUUCAGCUGAGUAACUUCA